UACGAAGAGGGCUAGCGUUGUUCGGAAUUACUGGGCGUAAAGCGCACGUAGGCGGAUUUGUUAGUCAGGGGUGAAAUCCAGGGGCUCAACCUCGGAACUGCCUUUGAUACUGCAAGUCUCGAGUCCGGAAGAGGUGAGUGGAAUUCCUAGUGUAGAGGUGAAAUUCGUAGAUAUUAGGAAGAACACCAGUGGCGAAGGCGGCUCACUGGUCCGGUACUGACGCUGAGGCGCGAAAGCGUGGGGAGCAAACAGG
Molecule: ribosomal RNA, 253 nt
Filed under: uncultured bacterium
Lineage: Bacteria
Description: partial 16S ribosomal RNA
Rfam family: Bacterial small subunit ribosomal RNA
Source: RNAcentral